AGCAGAGAGCCCGAUGCGGGGCUCGAUCCCAGAACCCUGGGAUCAUGACCUGAGCCGAAGGCAGGCGCUUAACCAACUGAGCCACCCAGGCGCCCCUCCACUAUCUUCUAAAGUCUAUGCCUCUGGGUGGACACUAUUAGCAUCCGAAUUCCGAAUAUUGAGGCACAGGAGAAGCUAAAUAAGAAGGCACAAAGGUCCCACUUAGCUGGUGGAGCCUAGGUCCAGCCCCAGUGGAUGUCCUUGACACAAUACCCAUAGUGCCUUUCUCAAUGCCUGGCUUACGCAGAAGCUUAAGAAAGAUCUGAUGAGCUGAAUGCUAAAGGGCGAGCACUCCAUAAAAUGUGAUUUCCUUUUUCUCUUCCCCUCUGGCUUCACAUCCAAAACUCUUCCCACCACCCUGUAGUAGUUUAAAUAAGAAUCAAGGACAGACUCUAGAUAAAGACUCCGGGAUGUGGAAUGUUAAUUAAAAUUCAAGAAAGCUGUUAAAAGUGAUAAGAAAAUAAAACUCAGGGAUAGGGACAGGGAUAGCAGGAGGACAGGAGGCUCUGUGGGCCCCACAUGGACCACAACUGACGGCUUCCAUUAGCCAGUGAACAGGGAGCAGAAACCUGGACAGCAUCCUUCUCUGCUCAGAGGCUUGCCACACAUUUACUCCUCCAUCUUUGGCAGAAGUCAAAGAGAAAAAGCAGAGAAUUCAGAGGAGAAUGUCCAAAAAGAAAGGCCUAAGAAACAGGGCUCCUACGGGGUUUUACAGUGCCCAAAUUCUGCACCUUCAGGAAAAGAAGGGGAAGAGUUAGGUGGUCUGAGUCAAUGCUCAGUCAGGUCUCCUGUGGCCACCAGCUGCAGAGAAAGCCACAGAAGACAAGUUAAGGCUUCCCUCCUUUCCAUAAGAAAUCACUUUGAUGCUCUGCUGAAUGUUAUGGGGUUUUGUGUGUGUGUGUGUGUGUGUGUGUGUGUGUGUGUGUGUAAUAAACCUCUGGAGGAAGUGUUUGGUCUCUUUAAAAAUCAGGCCGUCUGUGACUAAAGCUGAUAAACUCUGGGUUACCUGCAGUGGUUACUGUUCUGUUUCUAAUAAGAAACACACGGCUCAAUGAACAGCUCACAAGAUUCUCUGAAAACUAUGCUCCGAGGAAGCGUUUCUGAUCAGGAAGUAAGGUAACAGCUUAGGCAUCACCAGUGACCGUGGGAUAAGACAGCAUCCCAGGAGCAGCCAUUCAGAAUCAGCGAGUGCCACAGAGCCCUAAAUUGACAACAAAAGUUACACCUUGUCUGGGGUGCCAACAUGUCAUAACAUCUGCUACUGACCAAGCACUAUUCUAAGGGGUUUUACAUACUAUCAGUGUUAAUAAUAAUCAUCACUGACACUUAUUCAAUGCUUAUAAUGCACCAGGCACACUUCUGCAUGUACUCAUUUAAUUCUCACAACAACUCUAUG
Long non-coding RNA from Lutra lutra (Eurasian river otter), 1435 nucleotides. RefSeq lists it as uncharacterized. The transcript has 3 exons. The record is from RefSeq and is a predicted model, not a curated record. Lineage: Eukaryota; Metazoa; Chordata; Mammalia; Carnivora; Mustelidae.